CACGUAGGCACCAAGCGUUGUCCGGAUUUAUUGGGCGUAAAGAGCUCGUAGGCGGUUCGGUAAGUCGGGUGUGAAAACUUUGGGCUUAACCCAAAGCGUGCAUCCGAUACUGCUGUGACUUGAGUUCGGUAGGGGAGUGGGGAAUUCCUAGUGUAGCGGUGAAAUGCGCAGAUAUUAGGAGGAACACCGGUGGCGAAGGCGCCACUCUGGGCCGAAACUGACGCUGAGGAGCGAAAGCAUGGGUAGCAAACAGG
Molecule: ribosomal RNA, 254 nt
Filed under: uncultured bacterium
Lineage: Bacteria
Description: partial 16S ribosomal RNA
Rfam family: Bacterial small subunit ribosomal RNA
Source: RNAcentral